This 250-nucleotide ribosomal RNA is filed under the name uncultured bacterium. Its description in RNAcentral is "partial 16S ribosomal RNA". It matches the Rfam family "Bacterial small subunit ribosomal RNA", at positions 524 to 771 of the family's 1533-position model. The record is from RNAcentral.
UACAGAGGGGGCAAGCGUUGUUCGGAAUUACUGGGCGUAAAGGGCGCGUAGGCGGCCUUCUAAGUCGAACGUGAAAUCCCCGGGCUCAACCCGGGAACUGCGUCCGAUACUGGAAGGCUUGAAUCCGGGAGAGGGAUGCGGAAUUCCAGGUGUAGCGGUGAAAUGCGUAGAUAUCUGGAGGAACACCGGUGGCGAAGGCGGCGAGUCCUGGACCGGCAUUGACGCUGAGGCGCGAAAGCCAGGGGAGCAA